AAAAUGAGAAACAUGCACUGCCUUACCAUCUUUUUAACCUAUAUAUCCCAUUAUACCACUCUUUGAAAAAUAUAUACCAAAAUACCAUGUUUUGAGAAAUCUUCAACACACAGCCGCCAAUCCAUUGGGCGAUUGAGUGUAAAAAAUUAAUGGACCGCCCAUUCAUUUGGAGGCUGUGUUGAAAACGUAAUUUUUUUUCCAAAACCAACAUUAUAUGUAAUAUAUUAAUAUUUAGUAUUAUUACAUUAUUAAUUAAAUUAUUAUUGAUUUUGUAUUAAUGAUUUUGAUUUUUCAGUAAUCAACAUUAUUAUUAAAAUUAAUUAUUAUUAAUGAUUUUGUAAAAUUAAUUAUUAUUAAUAAAUUUUGUAGAUAAAAUAAUUGUUUAAUUUAUAACAAAUAUGAUAUAUGUUACAAUUAAUAUUGAUUUAAUAUAAAUUUCUAUUAUUAAUAAAUAUUAUACAUAAUAAUUUUUUUUAGUAAAAUAAAAUAUUAUUAAUAAGUUGGG
This 505-nucleotide long non-coding RNA is filed under the name Lathyrus oleraceus (garden pea). RNAcentral's name for it is "Pisum sativum (pea) long non-coding RNA (PSAT_LNC042379)". Lineage: Eukaryota; Viridiplantae; Streptophyta; Magnoliopsida; Fabales; Fabaceae. The record is from RNAcentral.